RNAcentral lists this ribosomal RNA (988 nucleotides) under human gut metagenome. Its description in RNAcentral is "bacterial LSU rRNA". It matches the Rfam family "Bacterial large subunit ribosomal RNA", at positions 1942 to 2925 of the family's 2925-position model. The record is from RNAcentral.
AUAACGGUCCUAAGGUAGCGAAAUUCCUUGUCAGGUAAGUUCUGACCCGCACGAAUGGCGUAAUGAUCUGGGAGCUGUCUCAACUGCCCGCCCGGCGAAAUUGUAGUACCGGUGAAGAUGCCGGUUACCCGCGACUAGACGGAAAGACCCCAUGGAGCUUUACUGUAGCUUAAUAUUGGAUUUCGGCAUUUCAUGUACAGGAUAGGUGGGAGACUAGGAAACAUAGGCGUCAGCUUAUGCGGAGUCGUCCUUGGGAUACCACUCUUGGAGUGCUGAAAUUCUAACCUGCAGCCCUGAAUCGGGUUGGGGGACAUUGUUAGGUGGGCAGUUUGACUGGGGCGGUCGCCUCCAAAAAGGUAACGGAGGCGCUCAAAGGUUGGCUCAGCAUGGAUGGAAACCAUGCCAUAGAGUGCAAACGCAAAAGCCAGCCUGACUGCGAGACUGACGGGUCGAGCAGAAACGAAAGUUGGAGUUAGUGAUCCGGCGGUAUGUGAAUGGAAAUGCCGUCGCUCAACGGAUAAAAGCUACCCUGGGGAUAACAGGCUGAUCUCCCCCAAGAGUCCACAUCGACGGGGAGGUUUGGCACCUCGAUGUCGGCUCAUCGCAUCCUGGGGCUGUAUUCGGUCCCAAGGGUUUGGCUGUUCGCCAAUUAAAGCGGUACGCGAGCUGGGUUCAGAACGUCGUGAGACAGUUCGGUCCCUAUCUGUCGUGGGCGCAGGAUAUUUGAAAGGCGCUGUCCCUAGUACGAGAGGACCGGGAUGGACGAACCUCUGGUGCACCAGUUGUCACGCCAGUGGCACAGCUGGGCAGCUAUGUUCGGAUCGGAUAAACGCUGAAAGCAUCUAAGCGUGAAGCCGGCCUUAAGAUAAGAUAUCCCACUGAGAUAAUCAGGUAAGACCCCUUGAAGACUACAAGGUUGAUAGGCACGAUGUGUAAGUGGAGCGAUCCAUUCAGCAAGCGUGUACUAAUAGGUCGAGGGCUUGACCAC